GACGAACGCUGGCGGCGUGCCUAAUACAUGCGAGUUGAGCGCUGAAGGUUGGUGCUUUUACCAACUGGAUGAGCAGCUAACGGGUGAGUAACGCGUGGGUAAUCUUCCAUUGAUCGGUGGACAACAUCUUGAAACGAAUUCUACUACCGCAUAAAAACUUUUAACACAAGUUUCAAGUUUUAAAGAUGCCAUUGCAUCACUCAUAGAUGAUUCCGAGUUUUAUUAGCUAGUUGGUUAGGGAAAGGCCCACCAAAGCCAAGGUACAUAGUCGACCUGAAAGGGUGGUCGGCCAAAUCGGGACUGGGAAAAGGGCCAAAACCCUACGGGAAGCAGCAGUAGGGAAUCUUCGGAAAUGGACGACAGUCCGAACGAGCAAAGACGCGUGAGUGAAGAAGGUUUUCGGAUCGUAAAACCCUGUUGGUAGAGAAGAACGUUGGGGAGAGUGGAAAGCUCAUCAAGUGACGGUAACUAAACAGAAAGCGACGGCUAACUACGUG
Molecule: ribosomal RNA, 497 nt
Filed under: uncultured bacterium
Lineage: Bacteria
Description: partial 16S ribosomal RNA
Rfam family: Bacterial small subunit ribosomal RNA
Source: RNAcentral